ACAAGAUGAAUCUUUACUUAUUUGCUUAGGUGCGCAACUAAAUGAAUAAGUUAGGAUUCUAAUGCUAGGAGUAACACUAGAUUCGUAUAUGUCUUGUGUCCAUUCCAAUUGAGUAGCAAAAUGUUUUCGCGAAUUACAUGUGGCUCAAACCAUAGGUUUAGCAAGACUACCAACGUACUUGUGACCCUAGAUUUAUCCAAACCCUUUUCUUGCUUAAUGAUUUUGAUAUGUUAAACUUAGCGAGCUUGUGUCUAGGUUGCAUAUUUGAAAAUAGAUUAAGUGGUGAGCUUGUAUUCACUUAACGAGGAACUAAGAAAGGGUAAUGGGUUAACUCGAGCUUGUGAGUUAAUUUCGGGUAAAUUCAAUUGAGAUUUAGAAUUCCAUAACUGAGCUUUGAUAUGAAUGAAUGUGUUCGGUGGUAGAGAAUGAACUCUUAGCUUUGUUUCUAUUAAUAGUUUUAGAAUCUUAUCAAAUCUGUUUCUGUUUGAUUAGCUUUCCGUGUUCCGUUUUACGUGAAUUAUUUCAUAUAGCAAAUCAACUCCAAUUGUUAUGAAAUUUUGUAUACAUAUUGUUAAAUGUGUCUUUAGUGUCCUGUAAAAGUUUCAGAAAAUUCCAUUGAGUCUAAGUUAGUUAAUUAAUUUAUUUUUAUUAACUGUUUAGUAGCAUAGUUUAUAGUAGUUUGUGACAUUUGAUUAGCAGUUUAGAAACAAUCUUCAGCGGGUAAUGACCCUUGCUUGAUCACUAUAUUACCAACGAUGAUGUUUGAGUGCAAGGUUUAAGUUGUGCAUCUUUUAAGACGUACCACUUAAUAGAUGGAUGAUGAUUUCGCUAAUUUGAAAAUGUGAUUGGUGAUUAUGUCUCCUUGAAACAAAAACAGGGUGAUUAGUACAUGUGCAUGUAAAAUCAACACUAAUAGCUUGCAUAUAUACUUUGGUAAGAUAUUUUAAACAAAGUGUACAAGAAAUCUUGAAGCUAAAGGUGAGAGCUGAUCAAUUUUUGUUCACGGCAUAUUGAGUUUAGGAGAUAAAAUGACAUGAGGAGACAUGACAUGUGGCUAUGUGACAUGCAUCUUUUUAUAUUAUGCACAUGCAUAUAUAUAUAUAUAUAUAUAUAUAUAUAUAUAUGUGUGUGUACCAGUGACUAGUGUUGGUAGUAUGAUUGACAAUUAAGGCACUGGUUUGUGUGAUAUACACACAUAAGCAUAGGGCGCACCAUGUAUAAUGCGGCCAAUGUCACAAUUAAGCUAUGGCUAUGCAUGAAUUUGCAUAUGAGUGACAACUCAAACAUGAAAAGUAUUUAUAAAUAGCAACAUAUAUACGUGCCCUAUGCAUAAGCAGAUUUGCAUGUCAAUUGUAUCAUUCCCUCUGACAUGUGGCAAUAAAUUAGGAGUCAGUUGCUUUAACUAAACAUGUGUGUAUGAGCAAGGAUCAGACAGAUAUAAAGCAAGAGGCUUAGCAUUGAACUUCAGAUAUAAAGUAUCUGUGAUUUAGCUUAUUCGCAUAAGUUGGAGACUUAAACAGGAAAAAAAACUUAUCUGAUUGCUGCAAUUGAAGCCUGAAGGAGUGCUACUUGGUGUUAAGGUAACCUGAUGAGUACUCAGGUGUCCAUAGCAGCUAUAUGGGUGCCGAGAGCAGAAAAUCCUCACUCUUAUUCUCAGCGCAUUUUUUUUUUUUAACGGUGAAUAUCACUGAUCUGACUGCUUAUGAAGCGAAGUCAUCGGAAGAAGAGCGGGAGUGAGGUAUUGAGUAGAUACUUGGGAAACGGGAUGAACCUACUAGAUAAAAUAAUAUUUUUCUACUACUAUUUCUAGUGAAUACCUGUACUGAUUCGAAUUUUGCUUAACUUUGGUUAUGUAAAUAUAUUACCGAUAUUUGUUUUCUAAUAAAAGUACUAUUCAAACA
Molecule: long non-coding RNA, 1901 nt
Organism: Rosa chinensis
Lineage: Eukaryota; Viridiplantae; Streptophyta; Magnoliopsida; Rosales; Rosaceae
Exons: 2
Source: RefSeq, a predicted model, not a curated record